RNAcentral lists this ribosomal RNA (500 nucleotides) under uncultured bacterium. Its description in RNAcentral is "partial 16S ribosomal RNA". It matches the Rfam family "Bacterial small subunit ribosomal RNA", at positions 30 to 523 of the family's 1533-position model. The record is from RNAcentral.
AUUGAACGCUGGCGGAAUGCUUUACACAUGCAAGUCGAACGGCAGCACGGGGGCAACCCUGGUGGCGAGUGGCGAACGGGUGAGUAAUACAUCGGAACGUGCCCAGUCGUGGGGGAUAACGUAGCGAAAGUUACGCUAAUACCGCAUACGAUCUACGGAUGAAAGCGGGGGACCGUAAGGCCCCGCGCGAUUGGAGCGGCCGAUGUCAGAUUAGGUAGUUGGUGAGGUAAAGGCUCACCAAGCCGACGAUCUGUAGCUGGUCUGAGAGGACGACCAGCCACACUGGGACUGAGACAUGGCCCAGACGCCUACGGGAGGCAGCAGUGGGGAAUUUUGGACAAUGGGCGCAAGCCUGAUCCAGCCAUUCCGCGUGCAGGACGAAGGCCUUCGGGUUGUAAACUGCUUUUGUACGGAACGAAAAGGCUCUGGUUAAUACCUGGGGCUCAUGACGGUACCGUAAGAAUAAGCACCGGUUAACUACGUGCCAGCAGCCGCAGUAA